RNAcentral lists this long non-coding RNA (4194 nucleotides) under Sorghum bicolor (sorghum). RNAcentral describes it as "long non-coding RNA (SBIC_LNC017266)". The record is from RNAcentral. Lineage: Eukaryota; Viridiplantae; Streptophyta; Magnoliopsida; Poales; Poaceae.
GGUGGAAAGAACUCUGGCUUUUGCUAGAUUGAUCUUGACCCUCCAUAAGGACUUAUCCCUUGGCAAAAACUGGGACAACUCGUACAACCAUGAGGGCUACAUGGCUCUGGUUUUAGCUCAGUAUGAGGAUCUUUUUCUAGCUUGUUAGCGGUUACCUUAAAUGGCGUAAGAAUGGCAAGACACGUUGGGUAUAGUGUGGCCUCUGUCCAUGUGUAUAGGCUGCGGGUUAUGUGCCAUGGAAGGGGGGCUCUAUAUCUGCCUGCCGAGUGAAUCUAAUGGCCCUAACUUGUUAGACGAAACCUUUGAAAGGCUUCAUAGUGAUCCCUGCCGACCUCCCUAGGAAGGGGGUUAAGAGACUUGCAACCUCUGGCGAAAGGGUAAAUCACGACUCAUGGGUAAAGAUGUACAACCUCUAUAGAGUGUUAAAUCUGGUAUACUAGCCGUGCCCACGGAUACGGGCGGCCCGGAAAACUGAAGGAAUAGACGGACACUGAUGAAUAUGAUUAAUGAUAAUAAAUGAUGGUUUAUUAUGUUGUUUAUAUGUGUUAUUCUUAAUUCUUGUAUACAUUGAUCUUGUGGUUAUGGGAUUAAUUAUGCUACCUUGAUAAUUGCUAUCCAAUAAUUAAAUAUGCUAUCUACAUAUAAAAGCUAAAUGCAGUCAAACUAGUGUCAGCUAUUUGAGCCUCAUGAACCCCUGGUUAUACUUGUUGAGUACGAUAUGUGCUCACUCUUGCAAUUUCCCCCUCACCUCAAGAGAAGUUUUGGGCUUGUGAUCAACCAGUCAGUUGGAUCCGGUAGAGAGAAGUUAAUACCCGAAGUUUGGAGUUGUUUAUCCGCUGUUUGCUAUCAAAGGUUAUCUCUUUUAUACUAAGUACGUUAUAUAUUUAUGCAUUGUCUUUUGAUAUUACCCCUUAUUUGUAGCUAUAUGUGAGAUUUGACCUCUAAAACUCACAUAUGAUGCAUAUCUGGUUUUGUCCUUAAAAUCGGGUAUUACAAAAUCUAUAAUAAUUUCCUAGCAAUAUAAUUAGGGAUGACAACCUAUUUCAUAUUUAGGAAUGUUAGUAAUUAAGAAGUGGCUAGUUGCUAAAUGAUAAGUUAAUUAUAUACCGAGCAUUUCUGGCGUUGUUGCCAGGAGUAGGGUUUUUCUAUUUUUAGUAAUGACGGUAGUAAGUGUCAUGUAUUCUUGUUCCUACAACAUUCGUGAGAUGUUUCACAAUUUAUUUAGAAUUUUGUAUUGUGUAUCCAUAAGAUUUUCCACAGUGUAAUUUGGGUUUUUCUACGUAGAAUCCAGAGGAUGUUCCAUAAUAUAUUCAAUCAUACAAUAUCCAUGAUGUUCUAUAUUGUAUUUUAGUUAAUCGGAUAGUAUCCAUGGGAUGUUUUUUUAUUUCCCUCUAUUACAUUACUUUCCCCUUUUCUUCCCUUAUCUUUUUCUUUCCCAUUGCAUUUAAAUUUUUUCUUCUAUAUUAAUUUCUGUUUAGUUGGUGUUAUUUAUUUAUCUUUUAUUUCUUGCUUUUUCUUUCAUAGGAUUUUUCAAUCCUAUGUCCAUGAUCUGAUUGUGAUAUUCACUUAAAGUAUUUAUUUUGUAAUAUAAUAAUAUUGUUCUUAUACUAGUAGUUAGGAGGUGUAUUCUCAGUUGUUCUUAUAGUAUUCAUGUGAUAUCCCGUGUGUACUCUAAAUUACCCCAUACUAUUAUUGAGAUGUUCAAUGAUGAAUUAUGGAUUUUUCACAAAGUAUUCAUAUUUCAUAUACUGUGCAUUUUAAAAUGAUGUUGUAGUACCUAUGAGAUUUUCCAUUAUGUGUUUUUGGUUGUUGGUGUAGUAUCCAUGAGAUGUUUCAUGAUUUAUUUUCAUUCACAUAAUACCCAUGAGAUUUCCUACGAUGUAUGUUAGAUUGUUCUUGUAGUACCAAUAUUUGUUUUUUUAUUUUCCUCCAUUACGUGUCAUUUUCUAUUUCCUAUUUCUUUUUCUUUUCCUUUUCUUUAUAAUCUAUUUUCUUUUUAUUAAUUUCAUUUUUAUUGGGAAAACAUGAAACCGACAAAAAACAAAGAUAAACAUGAAACUCUCGCUUGAGACCCUGCUCACAUCACUCUGUAUCGGACGCUCAAUAGGGUUUGGCUAGCGUGUGACGCAAAACCCUACCACGCGCCGACGCACUGCACAAACUGUGCAACUUAGCCAACACACAGCGGAUGCUAGGCCAGCGUCCGAUGCCUCUGCAGCCAGCGUCCGGUGAGUAUUUUCCAGUGAAAAACAUUCUUGUGACUUCUCCGAAACAUUCCUCCGGCGCAAUAGAAAAUGAGUAUUCCGUUUCCACAAAAACGCCGAAUUCCGCCUCGCAAGCUCGGCGAGAGGAAGAGAGAAUCCCAAACCCCUCUCUACCCUUCAACCUUCACCUCCUUCACAAAGGUGCAAACACCACCAAGUGUACACCACCAUGUGCAUGUGUGUUAGCUUUUUCACAAAUAUUUUUCUAAAGGAGUUAGUCUAACACAUAUGCGAAGUUAGAUCGCUCAAGUGGCACUAGAUGACCGAUAUGCAAACAAGUUUGCCCCUCUUGAUAGUACGACUAUCUAUCCUAAAUCCGAUCAUCAACUUCUCUACACACCUAUGAUCGAUGAAAUAGAAAAGCCCUAGGCUAUACCUUUGCCUUGCGCAUUUCAUUCCAACUCCUCCAAUGUUGAUGCAAUAGAUGCACCAACCGAUCACCAAAUGAUAAGAUCCACUUUAUAUCAUCACGUGAUUGUAUUGAUCAUCGAUCUUGAUCUUACUUGCUCUUCACUGUUACCUGGGUCCAUCGGCGCCAAGUCUUGCUAAAGCUUCACCGUCACACAUGGUUCCUCGCUUCAAAGCCUCUGACAUGUCCUUCACACUUGCAACCAAUCCAUCAAGCCAAGCCUUACCUUGAUCUUCUCCACCUUGGUCAUAUGACUCCAUGUCAUAUCUCAUAUGUAAUGAGCUCCGCCAUAUCAUCAUAUAUUUACAUGUGGACUAAUCUCUUGUGUAUCUCACAUAAGGACUAUUAGUCCAUCUAAGGCGGUUGUCAUUCAAUUACCAAAACCAAACAAGGAUCUUUCACUCAUCUAGGUCUCGGUACUUUCAAAUUGCACAUUCAACUCCCUCAACUUCUUUCGAGUCUUAUCUAGGUCUCGGUACUUUUAAAUUGCUCGCUUAGCUUCCUAAUCUUAUCUCAAGUUCUCAUCAAGGUCCUGAAUUAUGCAUCUAGCUCCCUAAACUUAUCCUAAGCUCUCAUCAUAGUCCUAGUACUUCAAAAAUACACACCUAACUCCCUAUAAUUGUAUUAUUUUACUAUUUUAAUCCAUCACCUCCCCACAUAUUGUGUUGGAUGGGCAAAACUAGCUUCCUACUAGGAGCUACAGUAUCGCUUGGUCGUCCUUAUUGUGCUUGCCCAACCACGUGUCCUAGCCAAAGCCUUCGCCACUAUGGCCCUCCUUGAUUCCGCUUGACUGGCUCAUGCUCCACCUCACCAUGGCAUCGGUCCCUGCCUCGUGGCAAUCACAUUCAAAACCACCACCGCCACCACUACACUCCUGCUCCCUCAUCGAGUAGGAGCUCAUUCUCAUUCUCACCAUCUCUUCACACUUAGUUCCUCAUACUUCUAGCCUUCCUCACCUUCUACGAUAGGGUCGUCAUUGUAGCACAUGCAACAAGGUGAGUGGACCACGUGACUUGGCAGUGCGGCGGGCACGACAGGGCCUGCAUGGCAACAUGGGUGUGGCACUACACUGAAGAUGCAACAUAGGUAGGUACAGGGUAGGAGGUCAAGCAUGAUGCAAUGCUGCAUGGCUACAGCGAUAAGGUAAGCAUGUAUGCACAGUUUGGUGAAGGUAAGGACGAUGCUGCAAGGGUGGAUGGACCAUAAUAGUACAACAAUACAACUUUAGGGACCUAAGUGUGCAAUUUAAAGGUAUCACGAUUUCGAGAACCUGAAAAGUUUAGAAAGCUAAAUGUGUAAUUUUAAAGUAUUAGGACCUGUAUGAGAAUUUAGGACAAGUUUAGAAAGAUAAAUGUGCAAUUUGAAUGUAUCCGGACCUAGAUGAAAACCGGGGCAGAUUCAAAGACCACCGGUAAAAUUUACUCUUUGAACAACAUGAUAGCCGUGUGGAUACUUUAUGUGUUUGUAGUGUACCAAAAGUGAUGAAUUUAACCCUAUUUGUCAAGGUCUGCCAGUCCCCAC